Molecule: ribosomal RNA, 496 nt
Filed under: uncultured bacterium
Lineage: Bacteria
Description: partial 16S ribosomal RNA
Rfam family: Bacterial small subunit ribosomal RNA
Source: RNAcentral
GAUGAACGCUGGCGGCGUGCCUAAUACAUGCAAGUCGAGCGAACAGACGAGGAGCUUGCUCCUCUGACGUUAGCGGCGGACGGGUGAGUAACACGUGGAUAACCUACCUAUAAGACUGGGAUAACUUCGGGAAACCGGAGCUAAUACCGGAUAAUAUAUUGAACCGCAUGGUUCAAUAGUGAAAGACGGUUUUGCUGCCACUUAUAGAUGGAUCCGCGCCGCAUUAGCUAGUUGGUAAGGUAACGGCUUACCAAGGCAACGAUGCGUAGCCGACCUGAGAGGGUGAUCGGCCACACUGGAACUGAGACACGGUCCAGACUCCUACGGGAGGCAGCAGUAGGGAAUCUUCCGCAAUGGGCGAAAGCUUGACGGAGCAACGCCGCGUGAGUGAUGAAGGUCUUCGGAUCGUAAAACUCUGUUAUUAGGGAAGAACAAAUGUGUAAGUAACUAUGCACGUCUUGACGGUACCUAAUCAGAAAGCCACGGCUAACUACGU